AUGGGGGGGCGUGCCUAAUACAUGCAAGUCGAGCGGACAGAUGGGAGCUUGCUCCCUGAUGUUAGCGGCGGACGGGUGAGUAACACGUGGGUAACCUGCCUGUAAGACUGGGAUAACUCCGGGAAACCGGGGCUAAUACCGGAUGCUUGUUUGAACCGCAUGGUUCAAACAUAAAAGGUGGCUUGGCUACCACUUACAGAUGGACCCGCGGCGCAUUAGCUAGUUGGUGAGGUAAUGGCUCACCAAGGCAACGAUGCGUAGCCGACCUGAGAGGGUGAUCGGCCACACUGGGACUGAGACACGGCCCAGACUCCUACGGGAGGCAGCAGUAGGGAAUCUUCCGCAAUGGACGAAAGUCUGACGGAGCAACGCCGCGUGAGUGAUGAAGGUUUUCGGAUCGUAAAGCUCUGUUGUUAGGGAAGAACAAGUACCGUUCGAAUAGGGCGGUACCUUGACGGUACCUAACCAGAAAGCCACGGCUAACUACGUGCCAGCAGCCGCGGUAAUACGUAGGUGGCAAGCGUUGUCCGGAAUUAUUGGGCGUAAAGGGCUCGCAGGCGGUUCCUUAAGUCUGAUGUGAAAGCCCCCGGCUCAACCGGGGAGGGUCAUUGGAAACUGGGGAACUUGAGUGCAGAAGAGGAGAGUGGAAUUCCACGUGUAGCGGUGAAAUGCGUAGAGAUGUGGAGGAACACCAGUGGCGAAGGCGACUCUCUGGUCUGUAACUGACGCUGAGGAGCGAAAGCGUGGGGAGCGAACAGGAUUAGAUACCCUGGUAGUCCACGCCGUAAACGAUGAGUGCUAAGUGUUAGGGGGUUUCCGCCCCUUAGUGCUGCAGCUAACGCAUUAAGCACUCCGCCUGGGGAGUACGGUCGAAGACUGAACUCAAAGGAAUUGACGGGGGCCCGCACAAGCGUGGAGCAUGUGGUUUAAUUCGAAGCAACGCGAAGAACCUUACCAGGUCUUGACAUCCUCUGACAAUCCUAGAGAUAGGACGUCCCCUUCGGGGGCAGAGUGACAGGAGGUUGCCAGGUCGGUCCAAGGACUGAUCUUAGUUGCCAGCAUUCA
RNAcentral lists this ribosomal RNA (1065 nucleotides) under Bacillus subtilis. RNAcentral's name for it is "bacterial SSU rRNA". It matches the Rfam family "Bacterial small subunit ribosomal RNA", at positions 36 to 1084 of the family's 1533-position model. The record is from RNAcentral. Lineage: Bacteria; Bacillati; Bacillota; Bacilli; Caryophanales; Bacillaceae.